GGGAACUCUGGUGACAGGUGGUGCAUGGUUGUCGUCAGCUCGUGUCGUGAGAUGUUGGGUUAAGUCCCGCAACGAGCGCAACCCUUGUCUUUAGUUGCCAUCAUUAAGUUGGGCACUCUAGAGAGACUGCCAGGGAUAACCUGGAGGAAGGUGGGGAUGACGUCAAAUCAUCAUGCCCCUUA
This 182-nucleotide ribosomal RNA is filed under the name Clostridioides difficile. RNAcentral's name for it is "partial 16S ribosomal RNA". It matches the Rfam family "Bacterial small subunit ribosomal RNA", at positions 1021 to 1204 of the family's 1533-position model. Lineage: Bacteria; Bacillati; Bacillota; Clostridia; Peptostreptococcales; Peptostreptococcaceae. The record is from RNAcentral.